AUUGAGUCCUUUCAUAACAGCAGAGCUUUGAUGAGCUUUGUGCUGAUGAAAGGAGGAUCAGGAAUAGAGCAGAGGACCUGCUGAUCUACUGGUUCUGGUUCUAGUAGAUUUUAUAAAUGCAUGACUGAGACAAGACAACAGCACUGGACCAAUCAGGAGAGAGAAGACACAGAUAACUGAGGGGACACAGAAAAUCCUGCUGAAAGUCCAUAGAAGAAGUUUCCAGCUGAGGACACAGAAUAAAGAGACAGAGAUCAUGUGAAGUUGGAUCUCCUCAGCUUGUAAACCUCCACCUUCAACACCACCAGUCAGGUGGAGGAAGAUAAGAGAACCCUGUUGACAAAAAAA
Molecule: long non-coding RNA, 348 nt
Organism: Poecilia reticulata (guppy)
Lineage: Eukaryota; Metazoa; Chordata; Actinopteri; Cyprinodontiformes; Poeciliidae
Source: RefSeq, a predicted model, not a curated record